This is a non-coding RNA of Drosophila melanogaster (fruit fly), 626 nucleotides long. NCBI's taxonomy places the organism in Eukaryota, Metazoa, Arthropoda, Insecta, Diptera, Drosophilidae. The record is from Ensembl.
UCGUAUUGAAAAAAGAUUUUAAUGAUCAAAAAUCCUAUCAGAAUAUGCAUAUCUUAUGCGACACUCAAGGCGAUUUCUCUUGACUGUCUUGCAGCAGAGAAAACGGAGGGCGGCAGCGGCAACUCACCUGGCGAAAGUUUUGCCGCAAAAAGCGCAAGGAAAACUGGCGGGACGGGCAGCGAAUUCUCGAUUCCGGAUUCAGGCUGCGAAUGCGGGUGGGAAUGCGGAUACGGAAAUGGGUAUAAGGAUGGCAUAUUUUCAUUUGAAAAGCAAGCUGCGUCUGAUUACAUCAUAAGAAAUGCGUAAUAAUUGCGUUAACAUAACGGCCUGCGAGAUGGGAACCAACAGCAGCAGUAGCCGGGUAGCUGGAUAUCCGGAUGAGAUGGCGGAGCAACUCUUAACCAGGCCCAAGACAUCUCCAUUCCCUUGCUCCACCGCCAUCCCCAUCCUCGCAAAUGCCGCCGAGCACGCAAUGUGGGUGGUUGUGCAUAGCAUAUGGCAUAUAGCGUAUACACCAUAUAGCACUGUGAAAAGGCAUAAUAUAAAACUUCAUCAAAUUGUCUUUGCAGCUUUCUUUAACGUGCCAACUUCGAAUUAAAUUUACGCAACAAUUUCAAAUGGCGGAU